UACGAAGGGGGCUAGCGUUGCUCGGAAUCACUGGGCGUAAAGGGUGCGUAGGCGGGUUUUUAAGUCAGAGGUGAAAUCCUGGAGCUCAACUCCAGAACUGCCUUUGAUACUGAAGAUCUUGAGUUCGGGAGAGGUGAGUGGAACUCCUAGUGUAGAGGUGGAAUUCGUAGAUAUUAGGAAGAACACCAGUGGCGAAGGCGGCUCACUGGCCGGUACUGACGCUGAGGUGCGAAAGCGUGGGGAGCAAACAGGG
This 253-nucleotide ribosomal RNA is filed under the name uncultured bacterium. RNAcentral's name for it is "partial 16S ribosomal RNA". It matches the Rfam family "Bacterial small subunit ribosomal RNA", at positions 524 to 777 of the family's 1533-position model. The record is from RNAcentral.